UGGGGAAUAUUGGGCAAUGGGCGCAAGCCUGACCCAGCAACGCCGCGUGAAGGAAGAAGGCUUUCGGGUUGUAAACUUCUUUUCUCAGGGACGAAGCAAGUGACGGUACCUGAGGAAUAAGCCACGGCUAACUACGUGCCAGCAGCCGCGGUAAUACGUAGGUGGCAAGCGUUAUCCGGAUUUACUGGGUGUAAAGGGCGUGUAGGCGGGAAAGCAAGUCAGAUGUGAAAACCAUGGGCUCAACCUGUGGCCUGCAUUUGAAACUGUUUUUCUUGAGUACUGGAGAGGCAGACGGAAUUCCUAGUGUAGCGGUGAAAUGCGUAGAUAUUAGGAGGAACACCAGUGGCGAAGGCGGCCUGCUGGACAGCAACUGACGCUGAGGCGCGAAAGCGUGGGGAGCAAACAGGAUUAGAUACC
This 417-nucleotide ribosomal RNA is filed under the name uncultured bacterium. RNAcentral's name for it is "bacterial SSU rRNA". It matches the Rfam family "Bacterial small subunit ribosomal RNA", at positions 355 to 786 of the family's 1533-position model. The record is from RNAcentral.